This is a non-coding RNA of Erinaceus europaeus (western European hedgehog), 116 nucleotides long. The record is from Rfam. NCBI's taxonomy places the organism in Eukaryota, Metazoa, Chordata, Mammalia, Eulipotyphla, Erinaceidae.
AUACUCUGGUUUCUCUUCAGAUCACAUGAAUCUUUUGCCAUUUACUAAAGAUUUCCGUGGAGAGGAACAAUUCUGAGUUUUUUUCUAAUUCUUUUUUAAAAAAAUUUUAAUAUUUA